GUUUUCAUAGCAGAGGAGAGACCGUUGGCAUCUCCCCCUACCACACAUGGUUAAGGACUUUUUAUCCAAAAACUAUGGUUAAGGACUUAAGGCUCUCCACUUUGGUGGAUCUUACCAAUUUUUUUU
Molecule: non-coding RNA, 126 nt
Organism: Thalictrum thalictroides
Lineage: Eukaryota; Viridiplantae; Streptophyta; Magnoliopsida; Ranunculales; Ranunculaceae
Source: the annotation of a GenBank genome assembly